UAGUGAGUUUGAUCCUGGCUCAGAACGAACGCUGGCGGCAUGCUUAACACAUGCAAGUCGAACGAGACCUUCGGGUCUAGUGGCGCACGGGUGCGUAACGCGUGGGAAUCUGGCCCUUAGGUACGGAAUAACGUCAGAGAAAUUUGUGCUAAUACCGUAUGGAUGUCGAAAGACCAAAGAUUUAUCGCCUAAGGAUGAGCCCGCGUAAGAUUAGCUAGUUGGUAAGUAAAGCUUACCAAGGCGACGAUCCUUAGCUGGUCUGAGAGGAUGAUCAGCCACACUGGGACUGAGACACGGCCCAGACUCCGUAC
Molecule: ribosomal RNA, 311 nt
Filed under: uncultured Sphingomonadales bacterium
Lineage: Bacteria; Pseudomonadati; Pseudomonadota; Alphaproteobacteria; Sphingomonadales
Description: bacterial SSU rRNA
Rfam family: Bacterial small subunit ribosomal RNA
Source: RNAcentral